RNAcentral lists this ribosomal RNA (374 nucleotides) under uncultured organism. RNAcentral describes it as "bacterial SSU rRNA". It matches the Rfam family "Bacterial small subunit ribosomal RNA", at positions 526 to 896 of the family's 1533-position model. The record is from RNAcentral.
CGUAGGUGCAAGCGUUGUCCGGAAUUAUUGGGCGUAAAGAGCUCGUAGGCGGCUUGUCGCGUCGGCUGUGAAAACCCGGGCUCAACCCCGGGCCUGCAGUCGAUACGGGCAGGCUAGAGUCCGGCAGGGGAGACUGGAAUUCCUGGUGUAGCGGUGAAAUGCGCAGAUAUCAGGAGGAACACCGGUGGCGAAGGCGGGUCUCUGGGCCGGAACUGACGCUAAGGAGCGAAAAGCGUGGGGAGCGAACCAGGAUUAGAUACCCUGGUAGUCCACGCUGUAAACGUUGGGCGCUAGGUGUGGGGGACCUUCCACGGCCUCCGUGCCGCAGCUAACGCAUUAAGCGCCCCGCCUGGGGGAGUACGGCCGCAAGGCUA